GACGAACGCUGGCGGCGUGCUUAACACAUGCAAGUCGAGCGGUAAGGCCCUUCGGGGUACACGAGCGGCGAACGGGUGAGUAACACGUGGGUGAUCUGCCUUGCACUCUGGGAUAAGCCUGGGAAACUGGGUCUAAUACCGGAUAUGACCUUUGGUUGCAUGAUCAGGGGUGGAAAGAUUUAUCGGUGCAAGAUGAGCCCGCGGCCUAUCAGCUUGUUGGUGGGGUAAUGGCCUACCAAGGCGACGACGGGUAGCCGGCCUGAGAGGGCGACCGGCCACACUGGGACUGAGACACGGCCCAGACUCCUACGGGAGGCAGCAGUGGGGAAUAUUGCACAAUGGGCGGAAGCCUGAUGCAGCGACGCCGCGUGAGGGAUGACGGCCUUCGGGUUGUAAACCUCUUUCGACUCCGACGAAGCGAAAGUGACGGUAGGAGUAUAAGAAGCACCGGCCAACUACGUGCCAGCAGCCGCGGUAAUACGUAGGGUGCGAGCGUUGUCCGGAAUUACUGGGCGUAAAGAGCUUGUAGGCGGCUUGUCGCGUCGAUCGUGAAAACUCGGGGCUCAACCCCGAGCUUGCGGUCGAUACGGGCAGGCUUGAGUACUUCAGGGGAGACUGGAAUUCCUGGUGUAGCGGUGAAAUGCGCAGAUAUCAGGAGGAACACCGGUGGCGAAGGCGGGUCUCUGGGAAGUAACUGACGCUGAGAAGCGAAAGCGUGGGUAGCGAACAGGAUUAGAUACCCUGGUAGUCCACGCCGUAAACGGUGGGUACUAGGUGUGGGUUUCCUUCCACGGGAUCCGUGCCGUAGCUAACGCAUUAAGUACCCCGCCUGGGGAGUACGGCCGCAAGGCUAAAACUCAAAGGAAUUGACGGGGGCCCGCACAAGCGGCGGAGCAUGUGGAUUAAUUCGAUGCAACGCGAAGAACCUUACCUGGGUUUGACAUACACCGGAAACCUGCAGAGAUGUAGGCCCCCUUGUGGUCGGUGUACAGGUGGUGCAUGGCUGUCGUCAGCUCGUGUCGAGAUGUUGGGUUAAGUCCCGCAACGAGCGCAACCCUUAUCUUAUGUUGCCAGCGCGUAAUGGCGGGGACUCGUGAGAGACUGCCGGGGUCAACUCGGAGGAAGGUGGGGACGACGUCAAGUCAUCAUGCCCCUUAUGUCCAGGGCUUCACACAUGCUACAAUGGCCGGUACAGAGGGCUGCGAUACCGUGAGGUGGAGCGAAUCCCUUAAAGCCGGUCUCAGUUCGGAUCGGGGUCUGCAACUCGACCCCGUGAAGUUGGAGUCGCUAGUAAUCGCAGAUCAGCAACGCUGCGGUGAAUACGUUCCCGGGCCUUGUACACACCGCCCGUCACGUCAUGAAAGUCGGUAACACCCGAAGCCGGUGGCCUAACCCUUGUGGAGGGAGCCGUCGAAGGUGGGAUCGGCGAUUGGGACG
This 1437-nucleotide ribosomal RNA is filed under the name Nocardia rhamnosiphila. Its description in RNAcentral is "bacterial SSU rRNA". It matches the Rfam family "Bacterial small subunit ribosomal RNA". The record is from RNAcentral. Lineage: Bacteria; Bacillati; Actinomycetota; Actinomycetes; Mycobacteriales; Nocardiaceae.